RNAcentral lists this ribosomal RNA (558 nucleotides) under Parabetaeus hummelincki. Its description in RNAcentral is "partial small subunit ribosomal RNA". Lineage: Eukaryota; Metazoa; Arthropoda; Malacostraca; Decapoda; Alpheidae. The record is from RNAcentral.
GGGUUAGUGAGGUAUUCAGUCAGAGUAGAUGUGAUUAGUUUCUCUCAUGUGUUAAGUUUUAUAGGGCAAAGAGGUAAAGUUCGAUAACUGAUGGUGAAAUUAAUUAUUGAGUUGGAGAUUAUUAAUCUUUGGAGGCUGAGUGAUAAAACAGGAUUAGAUACCCUGCUAUACUUUGUUGAAUUUAAUUCUCUGGGGUAGUAAAUAGAUAUAGGCUUGAAACUCAAAGGAUUUGGCGGUAUCUAAGUCCAGUUAGAGGAACUUGUUCUUUAAACGAUGAACCACGACUAUCUUACUUUACUUUGUAAUAUCAGUAUGUAUACCGCCAUUAUUAGAUAGCUUUUAUAAAAUUUUAUCAUAAUUGAGUUUUAUAAAUUCAAAGAUAUUAGGUCAAGGUGCAGCUAAUAGUGAAGCAAGUAAUGAGUUACAAUUUUGUAUAAAAUAUGGAUUAGGAGUGUAAGUAGUAUUCCCAUGAAGGUGGAUUUAAUUGUAAUUUAGGUAAAUUGAGCUUUGAUGGUAAAGGCUCUUAGAUAUGUACACAUUGCCCGUCGUUCUCGCUUU